Molecule: long non-coding RNA, 707 nt
Organism: Lolium rigidum
Lineage: Eukaryota; Viridiplantae; Streptophyta; Magnoliopsida; Poales; Poaceae
Exons: 2
Source: RefSeq, a predicted model, not a curated record
GCGGCCGCGCUCAUAUCCGAUGACAGCCACGGCCACCAAAGGUCCAUAGCAUAUCGGAGAGGGAGAAGCAGCAGAAGGGUGGCAAGCGUGUGCUGGCAUUGGAGGCCUUCUUCUUCGACGGCAAUGGGUUUGGGUAAUUUUUUGGUUCGUACCAUCGAGCCGAUGUCCUGGACAGGAUUAUAUUUGAAGUGUUAAUUGGCAUGCCAUGCAUCAGGUUAGGCUGUUGUAUCAGAGUGAUGUGUAGCCAUUUCGUGGCAUGAAAAGUUUUGAUGUGACCCAUAUCGAAAUGUAUAGUGGCACAAUUUGGCUGCUUGUUGCAACACAGGCCUUUGUGGUGUGUUUUUAUGGAUCGUCUGUGUGAAGCAGAGCUUGUUUGUGUUGGUAGUUUGGCACUGCUUCGGUUUAGGUAGCAUUCUGUGAUGAUCCCCAAUGGAGAUGCUAGGUGUAUUGUAGCGUGUAGUAAGGAUAUUUCAUUAGGCUGGUGUGUUUAGGUUGUGCUGGCUCACUGGAUGAUUUUUUGUAUUUGCUCGUAGUAAGAGAGUGAUACUAGAAUUGCCUGUCAUGUUAGCAUGCCCGCCUCCGACUGAAUCUGGUUGUAUUUGCUCGUAGUGAUUAUUCAACUAUGUACUAGCAAAUCUGUUCCUGUUGUGUUUCUGGUUAUUAUAUGCCAAAUGAAUGCAUAUACACGUACCAUUCAAAAAGCUUAA